CAGAAAUCUUGAAGGUUAGGACCACGCUAAGACCAACAGUUGGUAAUAUUCAAAUACUCUACAUUUGUUCGAGUGUUUGUGCACGUGCUUGUUUAUUAUGCUUAUUUCUGCCUAAGGCACGAUGUCUGCAAUUGGAAAUCAUAUCCAACUGUUGCAUAAUACACAUGGAUCUAUUUUAUGGUUUCCGUUUUAAGAAUCUCUGUCACCUAUGAUCUUAGAUGUGACUUGCAUGUUCAGUCAUUAUAGUGAAUAGGGGCAUGCUACAUAAUAUAUACUUAAUAUGCCCAAGUUUAGAGAUGAUAUGAUUCCCUCCAGGUGUGAGCAAAUUUAUCAUAGGAUUCGUUAGAGUCCCAGUUCAGUUGAAGUGAAAUUUUGUAAUAUUUUGGCUUCCCAACACUUUUAAAUUGAAACAAACAGAUUCUGAACAAUGGUAGUCUUAAAAGACCUUUAGGAAAAGCAUGAAAAAAAGGCUCGAAUGGUACUAUCCCUCCGUCACCCCCAAAAUGAAAGAGGUGCCUACACUUCUUUUUUUAUUUUUAGUUUAUUUAUUUGUUUUGUUUGGAAGUGUCUACAUUUUUGAGUGCUUGUUUUAAUUCGUAAUCUGUGAAUCUAAAUGUGGAAUCCAAUAAAUAGAAUAAGAGAACUAAUAGAAUUAGGACCCGUUUAGCAUGACUUUUGAAAAGUCAAAAUGAGCUUUAGACCCAAAAAUUGCUUUUGGACUCAUUUGACUAAUUUUAUUAAAAAAAAUUUGAUAGUUAAAAGAGUUUUUAAAGAAAGUUGGUUUAAUG
Molecule: long non-coding RNA, 788 nt
Filed under: Olea europaea subsp. europaea
Lineage: Eukaryota; Viridiplantae; Streptophyta; Magnoliopsida; Lamiales; Oleaceae
Source: RNAcentral